RNAcentral lists this ribosomal RNA (200 nucleotides) under Beauveria bassiana. RNAcentral describes it as "5.8S ribosomal RNA". The stretch from base 6 to 159 matches the Rfam family "5.8S ribosomal RNA". From Rfam's summary of the family: 5.8S ribosomal RNA (5.8S rRNA) is a component of the large subunit of the eukaryotic ribosome. It is transcribed by RNA polymerase I as part of the 45S precursor that also contains 18S and 28S rRNA. The record is from RNAcentral. Lineage: Eukaryota; Fungi; Ascomycota; Sordariomycetes; Hypocreales; Cordycipitaceae.
AUCAAAACUUUCAACAACGGAUCUCUUGGCUCUGGCAUCGAUGAAGAACGCAGCGAAACGCGAUAAGUAAUGUGAAUUGCAGAAUCCAGUGAAUCAUCGAAUCUUUGAACGCACAUUGCGCCCGCCAGCAUUCUGGCGGGCAUGCCUGUUCGAGCGUCAUUUCAACCCUCGACCUCCCCUUGGGGGGGUCGGCGUUGGGG